RNAcentral lists this ribosomal RNA (468 nucleotides) under uncultured bacterium. RNAcentral describes it as "partial 16S ribosomal RNA". It matches the Rfam family "Bacterial small subunit ribosomal RNA", at positions 28 to 507 of the family's 1533-position model. The record is from RNAcentral.
GACGAACGCUGGCGGCGUGCUUAACACAUGCAAGUCGAACGGAAAGGCCCUGCUUUUGUGGGGUGCUCGAGUGGCGAACGGGUGAGUAACACGUGAGUAACCUGCCCUUGACUUUGGGAUAACUUCAGGAAACUGGGGCUAAUACCGGAUAGGAGCUCCUGCUGCAUGGUGGGGGUUGGAAAGUUUCGGCGGUUGGGGAUGGACUCGCGGCUUAUCAGCUUGUUGGUGGGGUAGUGGCUUACCAAGGCUUUGACGGGUAGCCGGCCUGAGAGGGUGACCGGGCACAUUGGGACUGAGAUAGGGCCCAGACUCCUACGGGAGGCAGCAGUGGGGAAUAUUGCACGAUGGGCGGAAGCCUGAUGCAGCAACGCCGCGUGCGGGAUGACGGCCUUCGGGUUGUAAACCGCUUUCGCCUGUGACGAAGAGUGAGUGACGGUAAUGGGUAAAGAAGCCCCGGCUAACUACGUG